CAAAAGCUCCAGAUUUUUGAGCGAUGACGGUGUGCUUCCAGCGAAGCCAAGUCUUCUCAGCUCCAUGUCAAGAGCGAGGGUCCUGAGUGAAGCCAACCAGCACUUCUUUUCCUAUUCCUAGUGAUUGGUUCAGUGGAGGCAUCUGACCUGAGCUGCUUCGAUCAGACUGAAACCUAAAGAUUUUCUGUGGAUUGUGGACAAAUUCAGUCUUUCUUCUAUCCUGAAUAUACUGAAGAAAAGUGGAAGCCCUAGAAGCCUGGGAUCACCAGUGAGGUCACCCCCGCGCAGGCCUCGGCUCGAGCAGUCCUGCUGAGCUGAACGAGAAAUACAGCGCCAGGGGCCUGCGGCCUGCAGACGUGAGCACGGGGACCAACCUGCUCUGCAAUCUGCUGACCUCAGGUCUCGCCUUCAUUCCCACGAGUUCUAAUGCAUGGGGUGGAGCCUGGGGGGUCUGGGUUCUUCUCCUCUUGAAGAAGCAUCACUUAGUGCAAGAGCCAGAGGACGGGGAAGAGCAGCGAGCAAGUCGGCAGUAGCUGCUUCAAAAGAUCCAGCCCCAGAGGGGCCCAGCCAGGAGGCAGGCUCUUCCAUGAUCUGUCCCCCCAGCGAGUCAGAAGCUCCAGAAACAUCCCUCUUCUGGGUAUCUGCCUCCAGAGAAGUCUGUCAUCCGUGCUCCCUACCACCUUUGGAACACCCACCGCGUCCCUUCGUCAGCUCUACCAAGCGCACGGCCAGUGAGGCAGAAGCCGCUGGGCAGUAGCCAGAGCUGGAAUUUUCCCUGGCCUUCAUCGUGCUGAAAUCCACCACCGGGGACACCUGGUGUUAUUCGGAUUUGCUUUUCACAUCACCCGUUUGUGCUCUUGGUUUACUUGGGAAACCUAAACUACAGCAAUAUGUAUUCCCACUACAUUUUCAUCAUCAUCCUCUGUGUCACCUCCAAAAUGUGUGCUUCUCCACCGUCAACUGCUUCCAGAAUCUAGAUUCUAUACUUAUUCAAAAUACAUGAUGACUAUCUCCUA
Canis lupus familiaris (dog) is the source of this 1016-nucleotide long non-coding RNA. RefSeq lists it as uncharacterized. NCBI's taxonomy places the organism in Eukaryota, Metazoa, Chordata, Mammalia, Carnivora, Canidae. The transcript is spliced from 3 exons. The record is from RefSeq and is a predicted model, not a curated record.